RNAcentral lists this long non-coding RNA (437 nucleotides) under Mytilus galloprovincialis (Mediterranean mussel). Lineage: Eukaryota; Metazoa; Mollusca; Bivalvia; Mytilida; Mytilidae. The record is from RNAcentral.
UCUUCUUCUUCCGCCACUUUAAAAAUGAACUUGUCCGCAGCGGUUCUCCUAAACGGCUUGUCAGAUUUACUUAGGAUUUUACAAUAUGUUAGACUAACAUGUCUAGGUGAGCCAUCAAUGUUUCGUUUGUGCAUUGGGGUCUAUUAAGGGGUAUUUUGGGGGGUAGAAAGGAGGGAGGGGUUUACUAUAGAACCCUAUGGGAUUUUAUUUUCUAAAAUUUUCAAAUGAAUAUAACUUGAAAACUGUAAGUGAUAGAUACAUGCAGUCUUCAGAAAUGAUUAUAGGACAAUAAAACAAAUCACAUGAAAUAUAGGGGGAGUCCCUGGGGGGUCAUCCCCACCCCCUUCAAUUUGAGAAUAUGCUUUUAUCUUGUAAACGGUCCAGAUCCCCACCCCUAAACCAUAUAUAUUCUUGAAUGGGACGAUAAAACAAAUCAA